Molecule: ribosomal RNA, 499 nt
Filed under: Alternaria alternata
Lineage: Eukaryota; Fungi; Ascomycota; Dothideomycetes; Pleosporales; Pleosporaceae
Also listed under: 10 other names
Description: SSU rRNA
Rfam family: Eukaryotic small subunit ribosomal RNA
Source: RNAcentral
AUGCAUGUCUAAGUAUAAGCAAUUAUACCGUGAAACUGCGAAUGGCUCAUUAAAUCAGUUAUCGUUUAUUUGAUAAUACCUUACUACUUGGAUAACCGUGGUAAUUCUAGAGCUAAUACAUGCUGAAAAUCCCGACUUCGGAAGGGAUGUGUUUAUUAGAUAAAAAACCAAUGCCCUUCGGGGCUUUUUGGUGAUUCAUGAUAACUUUACGGAUCGCAUAGCCUUGCGCUGGCGACGGUUCAUUCAAAUUUCUGCCCUAUCAACUUUCGAUGGUAAGGUAUUGGCUUACCAUGGUUUCAACGGGUAACGGGGAAUUAGGGUUCGAUUCCGGAGAGGGAGCCUGAGAAACGGCUACCACAUCCAAGGAAGGCAGCAGGCGCGCAAAUUACCCAAUCCCGACACGGGGAGGUAGUGACAAUAAAUACUGAUACAGGGCUCUUUUGGGUCUUGUAAUUGGAAUGAGUACAAUUUAAACCUCUUAACGAGGAACAAUUGGAGG